RNAcentral lists this non-coding RNA (22 nucleotides) under Mus musculus (house mouse). The record is from RNAcentral. Lineage: Eukaryota; Metazoa; Chordata; Mammalia; Rodentia; Muridae.
UGGGAUUAAAGGCCUGCGGCAC